Molecule: transfer RNA, 69 nt
Filed under: Cavia porcellus (domestic guinea pig)
Lineage: Eukaryota; Metazoa; Chordata; Mammalia; Rodentia; Caviidae
Rfam family: tRNA
About the family: Transfer RNA (tRNA) molecules are approximately 80 nucleotides in length. Their secondary structure includes four short double-helical elements and three loops (D, anti-codon, and T loops). Further hydrogen bonds mediate the characteristic L-shaped molecular structure. tRNAs have two regions of fundamental functional importance: the anti-codon, which is responsible for specific mRNA codon recognition, and the 3' end, to which the tRNAs corresponding amino acid is attached (by aminoacyl-tRNA synthetases). tRNAs cope with the degeneracy of the genetic code in two manners: having more than one tRNA (with a specific anti-codon) for a particular amino acid; and 'wobble' base-pairing, i.e. permitting non-standard base-pairing at the 3rd anti-codon position.
Source: Rfam by way of RNAcentral
GAGGCUAUAGCUCAGCGGUGGAGCGCAUGUGUGGCACACCUGAGGCUCUGGGUUCAAACCCUAGCCCCA